This 443-nucleotide ribosomal RNA is filed under the name uncultured bacterium. Its description in RNAcentral is "partial 16S ribosomal RNA". It matches the Rfam family "Bacterial small subunit ribosomal RNA", at positions 338 to 795 of the family's 1533-position model. The record is from RNAcentral.
UCUACGGGUGGCAGCAGUGGGGAAUAUUGGGCAAUGGGCGCAAGCCUGACCCAGCAACGCCGCGUGAAGGAAGAAGGCUUUCGGGUUGUAAACUUCUUUUCUCAGGGACGAAGCAAGUGACGGUACCUGAGGAAUAAGCCACGGCUAACUACGUGCCAGCAGCCGCGGCAAUACGUAGGUGGCAAGCGUUAUCCGGAUUUACUGGGUGUAAAGGGCGUGUAGGCGGGAAAGCAAGUCAGAUGUGAAAACCAUGGGCUUAACCUGUGGCCUGCAUUUGAAACUGUUUUUCUUGAGUACUGGGGAGGCAGACGGAAUUCGUGGUGUAGCGGUGAAAUGCGUAGAGAUUAGGAGGAACACCAGUGGCGAAGGCGGUCUGCUGGACAGCAACUGACGCUGAGGCGCGAAAGCGUGGGGAGCAAACAGGAUUAGAUACCCCAGUAGUC